AAUCAACGCUGGCGGCGUGCCUAACACAUGCAAGUCGAACGAGAAAGUGGAGCAAUCCAUGAGUAAAGUGGCGACCGGGUGAGUAACACGUGACUAACCUACCCUCGAGUGGGGAAUAACCUCGGGAAACCGAGGCUAAUACCGCAUAACAUCGCAAGAUCAAAGCAGAAAUGCGCUUGAGGAGGGGGUCGCGGCUGAUUAGCUAGUUGGUAGGGUAAUGGCCUACCAAGGCUAGAUCGGUAGCCGGCCUGAGAGGGCGCACGGCCACACUGGAACUGAAACACGGUCCAGACUCCUACGGGAGGCAGCAGUGGGGAAUUUUGCGCAAUGGGGGAAACCCUGACGCAGCAACGCCGCGUGGAGGAUGAAGUCCCUUGGGACGUAAACUCCUUUCGACCGGGAAGAUACUGACGGUACCGGAAGAAGAAGCACCGGCUAACUCUGUGCCA
This 449-nucleotide ribosomal RNA is filed under the name uncultured bacterium. Its description in RNAcentral is "bacterial SSU rRNA". It matches the Rfam family "Bacterial small subunit ribosomal RNA", at positions 32 to 510 of the family's 1533-position model. The record is from RNAcentral.